UACAGAGGGUGCAAGCGUUAAUCGGAAUUACUGGGCGUAAAGGGCGCGUAGGUGGUUUAUUAAGUUGGAUGUAAAAUACCCGGGCUUAACCUGGGUUUGCCAUCCAAAACUGAUAAGCUAGAGAGCAGCAGAGGGAAGUGGAAUUUCCGGUGUAGCGGUGAAAUGCGUAGAUAUCGGAAGGAACACCAGAGGCGAAGGCGACUUUCUGGGCUGCCACUGACACUGAGGCGCGAAAGCAUGGGUAGCGAAC
RNAcentral lists this ribosomal RNA (250 nucleotides) under uncultured Gammaproteobacteria bacterium. RNAcentral describes it as "partial 16S ribosomal RNA". It matches the Rfam family "Bacterial small subunit ribosomal RNA", at positions 524 to 773 of the family's 1533-position model. Lineage: Bacteria; Pseudomonadati; Pseudomonadota; Gammaproteobacteria. The record is from RNAcentral.